AUUGAACGCUGGCGGCAGGCCUAACACAUGCAAGUCGAACGGUAACAGGAAGAAGCUUGCUUCUUUGCUGACGAGUGGCGGACGGGUGAGCAAUGUCAGGGAAACUGCCUGAUGGAGGGGGAUAACUACUGGAAACGGUAGCUAAUACCGCAUAACGUCGCAAGACCAAAGAGGGGGACCUUCGGGCCUCUUGCCAUCGGAUGUGCCCAGAUGGGAUUAGCUAGUAGGUGGGGUAACGGCUCACCGAGGCGACGAUCCCUAGCUGGUCUGAGAGGAUGACCAGCCACACUGGAACUGAGACACGGUCCAGACUCCUACGGGAGGCAGCAGUGGGGUAUAUUGCACAAUGGGCGCAAGCCUGAUGCAGCCAUGCCGCGUGUAUGAAGAAGGCCUUCGGGUUGUAAAGUACUUUCGGCGGGGAGGAAGGGAGUAAAGUUAAUACCUUUGCUCAUUGACGUUACCCGCAGAAUAAGCACCGGCUAACUCCGUG
Molecule: ribosomal RNA, 490 nt
Filed under: uncultured bacterium
Lineage: Bacteria
Description: partial 16S ribosomal RNA
Rfam family: Bacterial small subunit ribosomal RNA
Source: RNAcentral